Molecule: ribosomal RNA, 522 nt
Filed under: uncultured bacterium
Lineage: Bacteria
Description: bacterial SSU rRNA
Rfam family: Bacterial small subunit ribosomal RNA
Source: RNAcentral
AAUAGAUACCCUGGUAGUCCACGCCCUAAACGAUGCGAACUGGACGUUGGGCACAUUACGGUGCUCAGUGUCGAAGCUAACGCGUUAAGUUCGCCGCCUGGGGAGUACGGUCGCAAGACUGAAACUCAAAGGAAUUGACGGGGGCCCGCACAAGCGGUGGAGUAUGUGGUUUAAUUCGAUGCAACGCGAAGAACCUUACCUGGCCUUGACAUCUGUCGAAUCCUGCAGAGAUGCGGGAGUGCCGCAAGGAACGACAAGACAGGUGCUGCAUGGCUGUCGUCAGCUCGUGUCGUGAGAUGUUGGGUUAAGUCCCGCAACGAGCGCAACCCUUGUCCCUAGUUGCCAACGAGUAAAGUCGGGAACUCUAGGGAGACUGCCGGUGACAAACCGGAGGAAGGUGGGGAUGACGUCAAGUCCUCAUGGCCCUUACGGCCAGGGCUACACACGUACUACAAUGGUCGGUACAGAGGGUUGCGAAGCCGCGAGGUGGAGCCAAUCCCAGAAAGCCGAUCUCAGUCCGGA